AAAAAAAAAAAAAAAGUCAGAAUCCGGUGACUGUCAACGGCUGGUUUGCAUUGUUGUCUCGUUUUACAAGUGUAGUGCGACAACCCACACCACCAUGAGGUGCGGAACACUCAGGCGAGCAAACCCCAGUGAGCUCCUCUGAGUUUCACCGAGUCACGCGCCCUCACGCGCCGCCAGGAGUUCCAGGGUUGCGUCACCACGCGCAUCACGCGCCAGCGCGUGCGACACUUUCCGGCCAGUUUUUUCGAUCAAUUUUUUUUUCAUUGAGGUCGCCUCUCCAUUCCGAGGCAGACUGUAUAUUUAUUUUCUUAUUCCGACCAGUUUCGGGCAGUCAGACCUAAUUUCCGGCGACUGCACCUNN
RNAcentral lists this long non-coding RNA (361 nucleotides) under Solanum tuberosum (potato). RNAcentral's name for it is "long non-coding RNA (STUB_LNC009737)". The record is from RNAcentral. Lineage: Eukaryota; Viridiplantae; Streptophyta; Magnoliopsida; Solanales; Solanaceae.